This 253-nucleotide ribosomal RNA is filed under the name uncultured bacterium. Its description in RNAcentral is "partial 16S ribosomal RNA". It matches the Rfam family "Bacterial small subunit ribosomal RNA", at positions 524 to 776 of the family's 1533-position model. The record is from RNAcentral.
UACGGAGGGGGCUAGCGUUGUUCGGAAUUACUGGGCGUAAAGCGCACGUAGGCGGUUUUGUAAGUCAGAGGUGAAAGCCUGGAGCUCAACUCCAGAACUGCCUUUGAGACUGCAUCGCUUGAAUCCAGGAGAGGUGAGUGGAAUUCCGAGUGUAGAGGUGAAAUUCGUAGAUAUUCGGAAGAACACCAGUGGCGAAGGCGGCUCACUGGACUGGUAUUGACGCUGAGGUGCGAAAGCGUGGGGAGCAAACAGG